Molecule: ribosomal RNA, 497 nt
Filed under: uncultured bacterium
Lineage: Bacteria
Description: partial 16S ribosomal RNA
Rfam family: Bacterial small subunit ribosomal RNA
Source: RNAcentral
GACGAACGCUGGCGGCGUGCCUAAUACAUGCAAGUUGAGCGCUGAAGGUUGGUACUUGUACCGACUGGAUGAGCAGCGAACGGGUGAGUAACGCGUGGGGAAUCUGCCUUUGAGCGGGGGACAACAUUUGGAAACGAAUGCUAAUACCGCAUAAAAACUUUAAACACAAGUUUUAAGUUUGAAAGAUGCAAUUGCAUCACUCAAAGAUGAUCCCGCGUUGUAUUAGCUAGUUGGUGAGGUAAAGGCUCACCAAGGCGAUGAUACAUAGCCGACCUGAGAGGGUGAUCGGCCACAUUGGGACUGAGACACGGCCCAAACUCCUACGGGAGGCAGCAGUAGGGAAUCUUCGGCAAUGGACGAAAGUCUGACCGAGCAGCGCCGCGUGAGUGAAGAAGGUUUUCGGAUCGUAAAACUCUGUUGGUAGAGAAGAACGUUGGUGAGAGUGGAAAGCUCAUCAAGUGACGGUAACUACCCAGAAAGGGACGGCUAACUACGUG